AUUUUAUUAGUAUAUAAAGUAUAUUUGUUUUCCAAACAAGUGGUUUAAGUUGAUAUUAAAUAAAAUA
Molecule: transfer RNA, 67 nt
Filed under: Bathyteuthis abyssicola (deepsea squid)
Lineage: Eukaryota; Metazoa; Mollusca; Cephalopoda; Oegopsida; Bathyteuthidae
Description: tRNA-Gly
Source: RNAcentral